This is a non-coding RNA of Pantherophis guttatus, 817 nucleotides long. The record is from RefSeq and is a predicted model, not a curated record. Lineage: Eukaryota; Metazoa; Chordata; Lepidosauria; Squamata; Colubridae.
AUUGACUAAUCCUCCCGCUUGGUACUCUUUGUUUUUUCCAGGAGGCUCAAGCUGUCUGAUAGGGCUUUUGAUCUCCACAGUUUCUUUAGGCAGGGCCAGGGGUUAUCGUCCUUCAGUCACUGCCAAGGCCCACAGCCUGCUGCUGUUUGCUGUUGCAGUUGAAGCUUGUUUUCCUGCCUUCUUUCAAACCAGUAACAGUGAAAGGGAAGCAGAGUCUCUAUGCCUGUCCUUUCCUCCAUGAAGUUCCUGCAGACUGGGCCGGAAUGAAACAGAGGCAGAAGUUGUGGCAAAGAGGCCCCUGCGGUCUGCCUGAGAUGGCUCCAGUUUACAUGAGAUCUUCGUACUUGAAGCAGCUUCAGAGAAUAUUUUUAUCCACGGCUUCUGCAGUCUCUGAACACCAGAGAAAAGCACAUCCCAUUCUUGGGCAAUUUUUAGAUGCUCCAAAGGCUGAACAAGAGCACAUCCCUCUUGCACAGCUUCCAGGGGAUCAGGAGGCCGUGCUGAGCACACUUCAUUCUUAUGCAGCCUCCACAGCUUCCAAAAAUCAAGUGAAAAUGGGGCUUGCUUUUGAGACUAGAUGUUAUCAGGUGUUGGUCAACCAUGGUCUGUCUUUCAAAACAUCAUCGCAUGACAUCUUUGACACGCGUGUCAUGGAUUUGCCAUCUCUGACCUAUAAUAUUUUAAAAAUCUCCCCUGAGAAAGAAAGAAAAAGAAGAGAGAGAGAAAGAGAGAAAGAAGGAAGGAAGGAAGGAAGGAAGGAAGGAAGGAAGGAAGGAAGGAAGGAAGGAAGGAAGGAAGGAAGGAAGGAAGGAAGGAA